Molecule: ribosomal RNA, 486 nt
Filed under: uncultured bacterium
Lineage: Bacteria
Description: bacterial SSU rRNA
Rfam family: Bacterial small subunit ribosomal RNA
Source: RNAcentral
GAUGAACGCUAGCGGCAGGCCUAAUACAUGCAAGUCGAACGGGCUUAUGUUUUUCGGAAUAUGAGUUAGUGGCGCACGGGUGAGUAACACGUACAUAACCUACCUUCAAGAGGGGGAUAGCCUUGGGAAACUGAGAGUAAUACCCCAUAGUAUCAAGUUGCGGCAUCGUGAGUUGAUUAAAGCUGAGGUGCUUGAAGAUGGAUGUGCGUCUGAUUAGCUAGUUGGUGAGGUAACGGCUCACCAAGGCGACGAUCAGUAGGGGGCGUGAGAGCGUGGCCCCCCACACGGGUACUGAGACACGGACCCGACUCCUACGGGAGGCAGCAGUAAGGAAUAUUGGUCAAUGGAGGGAACUCUGAACCAGCCAUGCCGCGUGAAGGAUGACGGCCCUCUGGGUUGUAAACUUCUUUUGGAUGGGGCGAAAAAACGGGAUUUAUCCUGGACUGACGGUACCAUCAGAAUAAGCACCGGCUAACUCCGUGCCAG